Molecule: ribosomal RNA, 466 nt
Filed under: Vreelandella stevensii
Lineage: Bacteria; Pseudomonadati; Pseudomonadota; Gammaproteobacteria; Oceanospirillales; Halomonadaceae
Description: partial 16S ribosomal RNA
Rfam family: Bacterial small subunit ribosomal RNA
Source: RNAcentral
CCUACGGGUGGCUGCAGUGGGGAAUAUUGGACAAUGGGCGAAAGCCUGAUCCAGCCAUGCCGCGUGUGUGAAGAAGGCCUUCGGGUUGUAAAGCACUUUCAGUGGGGAAGAAAGCCUUGGGGCUAAUACCCUCGAGGAAGGACAUCACCCACAGAAGAAGCACCGGCUAACUCCGUGCCAGCAGCCGCGGUAAUACGGAGGGUGCGAGGCGUUAAUCGGAAUUACUGGGCGUAAAGCGCGCGUAGGCGGUCUGAUAAGCCGGUUGUGAAAGCCCCGGGCUCAACCUGGGAACGGCAUCCGGAACUGUCAGGAUAGAGUGCAGGAGAGGAAGGUAGAAUUCCCGGUGUAGCGGUGAAAUGCGUAGAGAUCGGGAGGAAUACCAGUGGCGAAGGCGGCCUUCUGGACUGACACUGACGCUGAGGUGCGAAAGCGUGGGUAGCAAACAGGAUUAGAUACCCCGGUAGUC